RNAcentral lists this ribosomal RNA (484 nucleotides) under uncultured bacterium. Its description in RNAcentral is "partial 16S ribosomal RNA". It matches the Rfam family "Bacterial small subunit ribosomal RNA", at positions 30 to 507 of the family's 1533-position model. The record is from RNAcentral.
AUUGAACGCUGGCGGCAGGCCUAACACAUGCAAGUCGAGCGGAUGAAGGGAGCUUGCUCCUGGAUUCAGCGGCGGACGGGUGAGUAAUGCCUAGGAAUCUGCCUGGUAGUGGGGGAUAACGUCCGGAAACGGGCGCUAAUACCGCAUACGUCCUGAGGGAGAAAGUGGGGGAUCUUCGGACCUCACGCUAUCAGAUGAGCCUAGGUCGGAUUAGCUAGUUGGUGGGGUAAAGGCCUACCAAGGCGACGAUCCGUAACUGGUCUGAGAGGAUGAUCAGUCACACUGGAGCUGAGACACGGUCAAGACUCCUACGGGAGGCAGCAGUGGGGAAUAUUGGACAGUGGGCGAAAGCCUGAUCCAGCCAUGCCGCGUGCGUGAAGAAGGUCUUCGGAUUGUAAAGCACUUUAAGUUGGGAGGAAGGGCAGUAAGUUAAUACCUUGCUGUUUUGACGUUACCGACAGAAUAAGCACCGGCUAACUACGUG